This 67-nucleotide transfer RNA is filed under the name Proteus anguinus (olm). Its description in RNAcentral is "tRNA-Ala". The record is from RNAcentral. Lineage: Eukaryota; Metazoa; Chordata; Amphibia; Caudata; Proteidae.
AAGACCUGUAGGAUCCUAUCCCACAUCUCCUGAAUGCAACUCAGAUACUUUUAUUAAGCUAAGACCU